Molecule: ribosomal RNA, 5125 nt
Filed under: [Candida] ipomoeae
Lineage: Eukaryota; Fungi; Ascomycota; Pichiomycetes; Serinales; Metschnikowiaceae
Source: RNAcentral
AGGUGAUAUAUUGAAAAAAGGUAUAUGUAAUUAAUAUUAUUUUAAGGAUUACGAAUCAAAAUUUAAAUAAUGAUAAAAAGAUCAAAACUGUAAUAACAGGGAUCAAUCAUAAUCAUGAAAAUGAUAAAAAGAAAAACAAGUGGAAUGAAACAUCUGAGUAACUUGUUAAAUAACCAACAGGGAUAAUAUAAGUAACGGUGAGUGAAAGUAUUAAAAUCUUAAAGUAUUACCAAGAGGUAAGAAUAAAGUAGUUUCCAACUACUAAGAAAUAAAAUUAAAUUUUAGAUUAAAGUACCGCAAGGGAAAGUAAAGAAAUAGAAUAAUAAAGAGCAGUUAUAGUAUAACGUACCUCUUGUAUAAGUGCGACAAGAAGCAUUAAUAAUUAAUGUGGCUAAUAACCACCUAACCUUUCCAUUGGUUAGACCCUAUCUAUACAUGCUGAAGGAGUAAUCAUCAGUUUGAAGCUAUAGAGACAAUGUAACAUUAUUCCCAUUAAAUUUAAUCGGAGUGCUAGGGUAAUAAUUCUAUGAUAAACGAAAGUGAACUUGCAUUGAGGCUUCGUAAAAAAGGGCCCCGCGAAGCGGGGCGAUACCGGCCUACCGGCCGGCAUUGUUAAGUCAAAUCUUUCUUAUACUGGGAUUUGAAAUGGAACAUAUUUAACACGAAGUAAAGCAUAGUAUCUAAGGAAUGUCCGGUAUAUAAUCGGUAAAUUAUAAAUAAUGGAAAAUUUUUGCCAUAUAUGAUUUUAAUUAUUAAUGAACUUGGUAAGCCCUUAGUUUUCUAAAUAUAAUGUUAUAUUUAGUGGUAACAUAUAAAGAUUAAUCUGAAAUUGUUAUAUCGAACUUAGGGUAUAAGAAGAUUCAAAAAGCGAAUGCAGAUUAGUAAUAGAUCUGAUAAAGUUUUAUAACUUAAUCCGAGAGGAUGCAGACUUGAAUCAUUGUGAUCUUCAUAAUUAUUUAGCUCUUUAAGAGCAAUAUGAUAAUCUAAAGCUUUCGGUAGAUUAUGAUAGAGAUCUUGUUAUAAUACAAGUGAAAAUAAUUAUUGCUAAAUAAAAGCCCACAUAGUGGGUAAUUGGCUAAUAUUGUAAUAUUACAAUUAAGUAAGAUUGCAUGAGCCGUAUGCGAUGAAAGUCGCACGUACGGUUCUAAGGGGGGGAAAAACUGAGAGGUUCUACCUAUCCCAAUUGGGCCAGUGAGUUAUAUAAUUUAGUGAAAAAUUGAAUAAAAAUUUUUAUAUAUAAAUAGAAAUAAAUUAAAUUAUAUAGGCCCGAAAGCAAACGAUCUACACAUGUCCAAGUGUAUAUACAACCUAUUUUAGGUUUAUAUAUGACUCAAUAGGUAAUUGUAGCAAUAAUUUCUAAAGAGGUGUGUGUAGCUGUGACAGACAAAUCUGGUUUGCAGAUAGCUGGUUUUCUGCGAAAUAUAUUUUAGUAUAGCCUUUAUACAUAUUUAAACUGGUACAGCACUUAAAUAACUUUGGGGAAUUAGAAUAUAAUUUUAUCAAAAUAUUUAAACCUCGGAAUCAGUUAAUAAUAAUAUAAGGAGUCAGACUUAUUGCGAUAAGGUAGUAGGUCGAGAAGGAAACAACCUAGACUAUUAAAUGAAUGUCCCAAAUAUUAAUUAAGUGAACAAAAUCUAUCCUACUUUUAUUUUUUUAUAAAGGUUGAAAUUAUAUCUAAAAUAUAAUUUUACAUUAUUUUUUCUUCGGAAAAUUUAUACGGGGUAUUAAAUUAUAGACAAUUAGUAAGUGGGUUUGACAAUAAUCAACUUUUAAUGAACAUGUAACAAUGCACUAAUUUUAUAUAUAUAUAUUAAAAUAUAUAUAUUUAUUAAUAAUAGAGAAAAUAUAUCGGGUCUAAAUUAAUAACAGUAUUAUAGAUAUAAUCAUUAAGAUUAUAUGGUAGCAGAAUAUAUAAUGGAUAAUUAUAAAGAGAUUGCUGGCUUGAGUAACGAUAGAUAAUAUAAGAUUAUCCCCUUAUUCAUAAGGUUUUACUAUAAACGAACGGUCCCUAAGAUAAUUAUAGAAAUAUAAAAUUGAUGGGUGAAAGAACAAGAAAAAAAAAAUGAACCGUACUGUAGACCGACACAGGUAUGAUUAGCAAAAAGGGAAUGGGAUAACUACUUUGAAUGAACUCGGCAAAAUAAAUCGUGCGACUGUUUACCAAAAACAUAGCUUAUUGCAUACUAGUAAUAGUAAGUAUAAUAAGUGAUAUCUGCCCGGUGUUAGUUUAAUAAAUAUUAUUAUUUAAUAGAUAAUUUUAUAAAAGACUGAUAAACGGCGGUCUUAUUGUGAGGAUCCGAAGGUAGCGGUGCGACAAGAUAAAUUCGUAAUAAGAAUAAGGUGAAAAUCCUUUACAAUAAAAGUCAUAUUUGUAAACCUAAUUCAACAUGCAUUAUGAGUAAUUAUUUUGUAUGAAGCUUGAAUGACAACGGCUAUAAACUUUAUCUGAUAUAAGUGAUCUGGUCUAGGUUAGAACGACAUGAUUAGUUUAUCAAAAUAGUGGAUUAAAAUCUCGUUAUAGGAAAGUAACAUGAUCAGUUUUUGGUUACUAUAUAUGAUUUAAAUAAUAUCGACGCUACGGAUAUUAUUAUAUGACUUAAUAAUAAAAAAUCAUCGGGAUAUAGCUAUAAUCUAAAUCGUUCAUUAAAGUCUUAUUACGGAAACUUGGUAAGCCUUAUACAUACCUAUAUUUUAUAGGAAGUAAUAUAUAAAAUUAAUAUAAUGGAAAUUAUUAUAUAGUGUAGAAGGUAAAGGAUAAAUAUAAAAAGCGAAUGAUUUUAUGUAAUGUAAAAUAUAGAGUUAAAUAACUCAUUCUGAAAAGAAGCUAACUUAUAUAUAAGGCCAUAAAAAUUUUUAUGGUUUGAGCCGUAAGCAGUGAAAGUUGCACAUACGGUUCUUAAGGGGGGAAAGCUUGAGAGGGCCUACCUAUCCUAACAAAUUCAUUGACGUAUAAUUGACGUCCUGCAUGAAUGAAUAUACGAUGCGAUAACUGUAUCCAAAGUAGACUCAGUGAAAUAGCAAUUGCGGUGAAAUUAGUACUAUAAUAAAUAUAUUAUAUGCCGGGUUGGUGUAAAUCCAACUUUAUAGUUUUAAUAAUGCCGGGCUACGGCCGGUAUGGCCCCGCUUCGCGGGGCCAUGAUAUAUUAAAUGUCUUAAAUGAUAGAUAAGUAUAAUAAAUAAGAAUACAAUCUAAAUUAUACUUACCCCCUUAAAUAUAAGGGUAAAUUACAUAUAGGCAAUAUGUAGUUUAAUCACUAUAAAUAAAAAGGUGAAAACGGUUAAUGACAUCUUAGUUAAAGACCGUCGGCAGUUGUAUAUGUCGCUACAGACUGGUUCACCGAGGUUAGACUGAAAUGUCUGUCUAAAUGUACAGUCGGAUUCUGUAAUAUAAUAUUUAUAUUAUAUAGAGGUGAAAGAUGUAUAAAAAAUACAACUUAUUAGUACUUAAGUAAGAAACCUUUGUAGGUCAAACCUACUUAAAUUAAUCAGAAUUGGAAGAUGCCGUAUAUCCGUAGGUUGACAAAAAGACCCUAUGCAGCUUUACUAUAUCUUUAUUUUGAUUUUUAAUCAUAAUAUAUUUAUGGUUAGCCUUUUUUCAUUUAUUUCAGCAGAUUAGGUUAUAUUUAUAUUUUAAAUCAAAUGAGAUACCUAUAUAAUUGAAAAAAGAAUCUAAUUAAUACAGUCAUAAUUCCCGUCCUUUCGGACGGGCAUUCUAUAAUAUAGAAUAUUAGUUAUACUAAUUGACUUAAGUUUAACUUAUUUAAGAAAGAGUAAAGAGGUUAGUUUCGAUGGGGCGUCGACAUCAGCGAAAGCAUCUGAUGUGUCUAAUAACAAUGAUCUUGAUUAAUCAAGACUAAAUGUUUAAUUAAAUUUUUUAUUUAAUAGUAAAUUACGUACAAUAAUUCUAUAUGGUAAAUAGAAUAAAAGAUUAUAAGUAAGGAUAACAACAUAAUUGUGCGAUGAUAAUAACACUAACAAGUGGAAUUAGUACUUACGUAGAGUGUAGUGAACAGGCAUAAACAAAUGGUAUGGAUGUCGAUAACGGAUUAAAGUUACGCUAGGGAUUAAUUGUUAGUUCCUUUAUAUAGAAAUAUAUAUUUAUCUACGCUUUAGUUAGAUAACUUUCAUUUGAAAGAUAUGGCCGCCUUUGGCGGGAAUUGGGUGAAUUACAUAGAACUCUUUAUAUAUAAAGACAAUAUGUAGCGAAGCAUAUAUUAGUUAAAUUUUUAAGAUAUAUGAACGUUCAACGACUAGUAAUUGAGUAAACUAACAAUAAUAUUACCACGAGCGCCCAAUACCUAUCAAUUAUCCCCCCCGCUUCGCGGGGGGAUGAUUAUAUCCCCUGAGGAUAAAUUAUUAGGUAAAGAAAUAGUCUGAACUAUAUAGUAAUAUAUAGAUGUUGUUAUUAAAAAAACAACAAAUAACAAAAUUGAACAGGGUAAUACCGCGUGAGAGUUGAUAUCGUCAGCGGUGUUUGCCACCUCGAUUAAUAACGAUAGUCGAGUUUAAAUAGGUUUAAUUGCAAGAAGUCUAAAAUAUAUGACAUAUUAGUUUGAUAUAUAAAAUGAUGAUUUGCAGCGAAUUAUUAUUUAUAUAAAUAAUAUAUAUAUUAUAAGAAUAAUAAACGUUCAACGACUAGUAGGUGAGUAAAAUAACAAUAUCCUACCACGAAAUACCUAGAAAUAUAUAUAUUUAUAUUUUAAGAUAUAGUCUGAACAAUAAUGAAAAUUAUUGAAGUUAAUAUUAAAUAAGUUAACGAUAACAAAUUGGUCGUCUAGACUCGUCCUCCUGGUCGCAGCAACUAGGUAGGGUAGGACUGUUCGUCCUCUAAGGAGUUACUUGAGAUGGGUUAAUUACGACGUGAGUCAGUAAUGAUUUUAUCAUCUAUGGAUUUUUUUCUUAUCUGUUGCCUUAAGUGUACGCAAGGAUAAUAAGGUACAUUCCUAUGGUUAAUUAUAAUAUUUAGCUAAGAAUGUUGUGUUUACAUAUUGAAUGCAUAUCAAAUAUUAAAUCCUUCAGAUAAGUUUAUACAUUAUAGACUAUAAUGUAUUAGUUAAUUUGUUAUAUUUGCAAAUAUACUAAUUUAUUUACUCAUAUUUUAUGAGUAUAAAAAAAACAUAUACCU